This 352-nucleotide unclassified non-coding RNA is filed under the name Zea mays. RNAcentral describes it as "misc RNA Zm00001eb241180". The record is from RNAcentral. Lineage: Eukaryota; Viridiplantae; Streptophyta; Magnoliopsida; Poales; Poaceae.
ACAGAUACUAUUAUUUGAUGACGUGGAUAAAUGUGGAGCAAGGAUUUUUUCAGACAAUAAUAAUUACAAUCAAGGCAGUCCUUAUAACUGGAAAAAAAAAGAGUUACCGGCAGGAACGCUACCUGCAGACGGAGUUAGGACCCCGUCCCGUGCCGUUUUGUUCCGUCAGGGGCCGCUCGGUCGCCGUCAACACCGACCCGGGGCAAACCUGGAAUAUGCGAAAAUAUCUGCAACGUCCCGAUCACCAGGUGGUGGUGGUGGUGGGGGCCCCACCCCUUCCUCAUGCAGGGCAGCAGGCGCGGCGCCCGUUUCCCCCCCGGCGCGCAGCCCCCUUUUCCCCACCCACCAGAGG